UGGCGGACGGGUGAGUAAUGUCUGGGAAACUGCCUGAUGGAGGGGGAUAACUACUGGAAACGGUAGCUAAUACCGCAUAACGUCGCAAGACCAAAGAGGGGGACCUUAGGGCCUCUUGCCAUCGGAUGUGCCCAGAUGGGAUUAGCUAGUAGGUGGGGUAACGGCUCACCUAGGCGACGACCCCUAGCUGGUCUGAGAGGAUGACCAGCCACACUGGAACUGAGACACGGUCCAG
RNAcentral lists this ribosomal RNA (235 nucleotides) under uncultured bacterium. RNAcentral describes it as "partial 16S ribosomal RNA". It matches the Rfam family "Bacterial small subunit ribosomal RNA", at positions 96 to 334 of the family's 1533-position model. The record is from RNAcentral.